This 7864-nucleotide long non-coding RNA is filed under the name Sus scrofa (pig). RNAcentral describes it as "lncRNA (ENSSSCG00050051828.1)". Lineage: Eukaryota; Metazoa; Chordata; Mammalia; Artiodactyla; Suidae. The record is from RNAcentral.
UUUUUUUCUUUUUUUUUUUCCCCAGGACAUUUUACAGAUUUUCUUGCUUUAAGCCGGUCUAUUCAUGACUAUCUAGAUUUUUACAAAUUAGCUUUUAAAUAAUUAUGUAGUCAUAAGGAGAGCAUUCUUUAUUUUGGAAAAUAAUAUACAGUAAGCUUUCUUUAAGAUGUUUUCCAUCAUAAACGUUUAGCUUAGACACAGUUCUUCAGGAAUAUAAUUACUUAAAAAAUAAGGAUUACUUGCUGUCAAAACUAACUAUAAAAUCCUGUGUAGAGAUUGUGUAUGUGACAUUGAAAGCAAAAAAAGGUAUAAUCCUUGCCCAGUGAACUUCUUUGAAUAACUUGGUUAAAAUAAUCCUGUAACUUUUCUGUUGUGCAGAUUAUGUAUUUGAACUGUAACUUUUUUAAUGAAAAGUAAAAUAUGUAUUUUUAAACUCUCCAGCUGGAAUGUGACAAGGAUUUGCGCAUUAAAAUGGUUAGAAUUCAUGCCCUUUGUGCCGUUUUUGGACGUUUACUUCAAAUGAAUUCUUUUCUUGGCCGUAGAUGCUUUCAGAGAAUGAAUCUAUUGCAGGGAUGGAGAGCUUUUUGCUAAGAAUGCAUUCUUUCUCUGUAGCCCUCAGACGGCUAUUGACUGUAUGCCGAGCUAGACACUCUGGGCAUCCAGCCAUGAAGCAUCACUGCACUAGCACAGGUAGUUGUUGGCACCCUCCUGAGCCCUCCACGGCUCUAAACCACAACAGAAGGAUAGCCUUGGGAAAGCAGCUUUCACUGCUAUUUUGAACUCUUAAUAUUCUGUGUAGCUCUCUGAGCUCCAGCUCCGACUUUGGUUUUGUAAGAUGUAGCAGUUAAGGGUGGGCAGGAAUCUGGCUUCUGAAAUAUGUGUCUUCUAGGCCAGUGGAUUUCAUUGUUUGCUGUGGAAAAUAAGGAGCAUCGGGUUGUCUGUCCAGGGUCACCCUCCCCUUGUUUGCCUCUUGGUCGAAACUCUUCUCUCCUGGAGAGUGACCUGCCCAAAGACACCAGGCCCAGGCCCAGAGGAGAGAGCCUGUGGGCGAGCCGGCUCCCACGACUCCCAUCACACUCGGUCUACUUCCUCGGAAACCUUUUUUGACACAAAAAUAUUUUAAAAUUUUUGUACAAAAGUAUGAAAAUGAAAAAUGCGUAACUGUCAGCUCAUCUUUGUUAAAAGAUUUCGACUUUUCUGAACAUCUUGUAUUUGUAUAAAUCCAGACUUUGCUGUGAUCUUCUAGAAUACAAACAUCUGAAGUUGCUUUUUUCCUUCAAGAAGACUUUCUCUGUUUUCUUCUUUAGAACCUUUUAGAAAUCGGUACUCUGUUAACAUCUUCAUAAUGUCCUUCUCCUGUGAAGGCCUGAAAUGCCACCCUCCAGUGUCACAGUAUCUAGUCAGGUUAUUCUCAGCGUAGGAGAACCCCUGUCUGUGGCUGAGUCCCUUUCUAUGGUGCUGGCAGAGGCAGCUAGUGCCCAGGUGGUUACUGAAAGUAGGUGCUUCUCUGGAUUCAUUUUCUCUUAUUAAGCUUAUUAAGAAUAAGAUUUCCCACAACUAAAAUCAGUUCCUUGAGUUGAGCCUGGCAAAGGCAUUGUUUACUUUUUAUUCCCAAAGCUAAUUUUUAAAUUUUUCUUUUAAUAAACGAAUAAGACAGCAACCAGUCUAAGUUAAGAUGGCAACCAGGAGUUAAAGGUACGGUCUGAAGCUGGGAAAUGGCAUCAGAAGCACAGCUUAUCACCUUCCCAACCCCUGGUGCUGUAAAAAGGUGUGAACAUUAGGAGUUAUGGGGAAGGGGGUUACUCCUUAGACUGUUACGCCGCCGCAGUCUCACACCAUAUAGGAAAUGCAGCAGGGAGGGCAAAGAGCUUGGGAAGGGAAUUUACAGUAAUGGGCUUUGUUCUUCAGGAGGCUGGUGUGUUUUUGUUUUUGUUUUCUGGGUUUUUUUUUUUUUUUUUUUUUUUUUUGACGUUUAAUGCCACACCUGCAGCAUGUGAACGUUCCCAGGCUAGAGGAUCAAACUGGAGUUGUAGCUGCCAGCCCACACCACAGCCACAGCCACACCAGAUCCAAGCCAUGUCUGCGACACACCACAGCUCACAGCAACGCCGGAUCCUUAACCCUCUGAGCGAGGCCAGGGAUCUAACCCGCAACUUCAUGGUUCCUAUCAGAUUCGUUAACCACUGCGCCAUGACGGGAACUCCUGGAAUAGUUUUUUAAUUAGUCUCUCUUCCUCUGGUCUGUGUCCCAUGAUCCACCUGCUGGUAUUAACUGGAUGCUCUCUGGGCACUUUGUGUGUGUCAUCCAUUCCUCAGCAGCAGCUUGUAAGGGAGCUGCUGCUACUGUGUUCAUUCUCCAGAUUGGGAAGCUGAGGCUGAUGGGAGCUGAAUAAUUUGCCCAAAGUCAGAUCCUUAAUAACAUGUCCAGGUCCUCUGCUACUAGUCUAGCUCUUUGUCAUCUCCCUGUGCCGCUUGCUGAAAGCCAGACCUGGUCAUGUCACUCCUUUCGUUAUAAAAACGAAGUGCCUCCUCUGUUCAGUGGGCACAGUGAAGAUGGACACCUCCCUGCCCUCCUUGAGGUGUCCUGCUGGUGAAGGAAACAGGCACCACACACGUAAAGGCAAACGAAAAACGGAGUUAGCAGUCAAAGGUGGCGAAGCUUCCUUGAGUUAACGGAACUCUGUGGUGGUGUCUAGUUAAAUAGCCACCUUCCACAUCUCCCCGCUGAGGCUGCCCAGUGACACCUUGGGGCUUAGAGAAGCCCAGCAGCAGAAGAAAUGCACCUGCCUUCUUCGUUAGCCCAGCCAGUCUUCCCCAGAAUCACGCGACCACAAACACCUCCUGGUAGUUCAGUGAAGGGCUUGGGGGUGUGGAAAGAGAGGGUGCCUCGUCAUUCAGAAGAGAGAGGAUGAUGGCACCCUUGGGGUCCGGCAGGACUUUAUUUAAAAGGGGUCCUGGAAGGCUGAUAGGAUUUGGCUGAACAGAAGGGAUAUCUACAAGGAGACACGUUUAGGAAACAUUUUGGAAAGUGCCUCACCAUAACAGCUGGAACUCUGUGGUUUUAUGGAGUAAACGAACACUGCGACCUUGCAGUAAGUGGAGGGUUUGUGUUAGCAGGAAGCUUGAGAAGGGGCUGUACGGGUAGAAUCUCCAGCCUUUGGCUGGUUAGGAACUUUUGAUAGUCGUUGUUGGGCAUGAUCUGAACCAAGUGGUAGAUGAGAAACUUGCGUUGAGCUGAGACAUAGUUGAGGGAUUGGAGGGGGAGAUCAGAAGCGUGAAAACCGUGGCUAGAGUGGUUGUCUGUGUAAAGUGAGGCAAGCUGAGACCGGCAGGGCCGAGUAGGGCCGAGCCGAAAAGGUAUUGGGAAGAAUCAGCAGGACAAAACAGUUGAGAAUGACUGGUGUGGGCUGCUGGGAGGACCCAGUCCCAAGAGGUCAGGCACAGUGCUCACUGCUCUUCCAGGCAUGUUCCAGAGAGGCUUUAAAUGAAGUAAAUAAAGAAGCUUCUGUUAAAAUGUUUGAUUAAAUACAUAUAGUGAGUGCUUUUAAAAUGCUGAUGGGGCAAGAUGGCAGAUAAUAUAGCAGUUUUAGGAGAGUUUAUUGUUUGAGGUUCUGGUGUAGAGAUUUGAUUCCCAGCACAAGUCCCAGUAAGUAAUGAGCCAUGUAAUAAUAGGGCUCUGCUCUUAAUUAUGGUGAGUACUCUCAAUGAAAUCGAAUUUUCUUAGUACCAUCCGUGGAAAAAAAUUUAACUCUGACUUUACAUAACAGUCCCAGAUAGAGUGUGAACUCUGUGGAUAUGGGAUAGUGACAGAAAAAAAGAGGAAACAAAUCUCCAAUAUUUGCAGAAAAUGUAAGCUCAGAUUAUAACAUAAAUAUAUGAGUGUUUGUGGCGGCUCUGUUGAAGUUGUUACUAGCUAGACUCUAAACCCCAGCACAAACCCCUUCCAGAUUUCAUCAUCACGACUGGUUCUCGGUUAGAUUUUGAGUUCCUUGUUAGCAUGGAUGGUAAUGCUUUUAUCUUUGUAAUACCUACAGUAUUUUGUGGAUUCAGUUGUUUAAAAAAAAGUUCAGGGAGUUCCCAUCGUGGCUUAGCGGAAACAGAUCUGACUAGCAUCCAUGAAGAUGCAGGUUCAAUCCCUGGCCUCACUCAGUGGGUUAAGGAUCCAGCAUUGCCGUGAACUGUGGUGUAGGUCACAGAUGUGGCUCAGAUCUGACAUUGCUGUGGCUGUGGUGUAGGCUGGCAGCUACAACUCCAAUUCAACCUCUAGCCUGGAAACUUUCAUAUGCCGUGCAUAUGGCCCUAAAAAGAUGAACAAAACAAAACAAAACAAUUCAGUUUUAUUGAAUUGCUUCUGCAAAUGAUAGUGGGGGAAGGGGAGAGAUUGCUAAUGAAUACUUUUCCUUUGUUUUUUUUAAGACUUUUUGGGGUAAUGACCAACUGUAUUUUCAGCUAGUCAGCCUGUCAUGUGGGUGUGGAAUGCACCUGCAGGUGUGAGGAGAAUUAGGGGGGUGAGUCCAUUGGAACAGUCCCCAGCGAGAUGCCCUGCACCAGGUUUUCUGUGGGCACCUGUAGGAAUGGGCAGCUCUCUCUCCCUGAGGCCACUGGGCACUGCCAGUAAGUGCCACCAGCCACUUAGGAAGAAAUCAUGUGUGAUAUUUAUGAUGGACGUAUGAGCGCUAGGUAUAACUCCUGGUUUGCCUUUCACAGGUCGGGUGACCGUCUGCAGAUCCUAGCCAUUGGAAAGAUGAGCGUUAUAACUCACAGGGUCAUUCUGGCCAGCCCACGGUGCCUGGUUGGCAUGUAGAGAAUGUAUUAUUUCUGUUCUCUUCUGGGGGCCUCUGGAAAGCAGACCGAGGUUUAAAAAGAUGUUGUCAAAAUUCUUUCCUUUGAAAUCAAUCUGUGUUGACUCAUAAUUUGAGUACUCCUUUAGUACAGUUAUUAAAUAUAGUUACAUAAUUAGCUCACACACAUGCCUAUUUAACCUGUGAGGGCAGAAUUUUGAUUAUGUAGGUCCCAUGGCUUAAGAAAAUGGGGUUUUCUCUUCAACUUGUCUUUAAACUAGAUCUCAAAUUAGCGGACAUUGAUUUCAGAAUUCAGCCUUUAGGAUUCCUCAGAAGUUUUUCUUGCCUUUCAUUUGUCGCUCCCUUAACAUCUCCCCUGCUUUUUUUCAUUUGCUCUUUUCAUGUUGUCAGGGUUUUUUGUUUGUUUUUACGUUUUCUCUCCUGAAACUUUGCACUCAGAGAUAGGAGUAAAGGCCUAUUUUGAGGCAGUAGGAUGGAUAGUGUGCUUUCUUUCAUCUCAGUGUAUUAUUGUUUUGCUAACAUGCCUUUUUGCUCUGAAGAUAUAAAUUCACAACUGGAGAAAGAAUCCCAAACUUCAUAAUAACUCUGUAGUUUCCUGAGUGCUUAUUGUGUGCCAAGUACAGGGCAUUUUAGUACAUUAGCUGAUGUCUUCUCAUCCAUAGUGAAGAGACGAAGGCGCCUUGGAGAGUCAGGCCUGGCUGCUUGCUGUGACCGUGCUCCUGACCUGUUCUCUUGUUCCCCCUUGUUCAGUCCCAGGGACAGGGUGGUUUUUAUUAUCUUUAAAGACCUAAGAGAUCUUGGGGCCCUGACUUUGAUGGAUGGCAUUUGGCCUAUUUUAAUUACAAAAACUUAUCAAAUGUUAACAUAAAUUACCUGUGUCUAGUGGGUUCAUAGCCCCAAAUAGUGUCGUUUGGGGUCUUAAAGUGUGUUGAACUGAUUUUGAUGUGUUUAUAAGAGACAUUAUCACUGUUUGAAAAACCCGAUAGUGCUCUUUCCUCCCUGAUUUCUAAUUCUGGCAUCUAGAAUGCAGCUGAGACAAGAGCACGUCUGUGAGACAAACAGAGAUCUCAUGAGAGCUCAUGGAUUAACUUUUUUCCACCACAGCAGCAGGUUUUUCUUAAAGCGUUGUUUGAAAAUUAACAUUACUGAAAAUUUAAGCCUACCUAAAGGGAUUCUAGUUUUGAUCUCAAUUAUAAAAAGUAGGAAGACAUUUCAUAAAAAUCUGUGUCCCCUUAGCACUAGAAUGCUUUGGCUGUGAGUGGGAUAAGCUAGAAGUAAGCUGCCUUUGAUAGACGUGAGCGGUGUGUGAUAACUGUCUCUAUCUAUUCAACUACUUCCUGUUCAAUCUCACAUCGCAGCUGGAAAGCAAUUUCCUCACUUGACCCAUUUUUCUUCUGUAUUGUGUCUUUCUUCUGGUUCUUUAACAAAUAGUUUGAAGGAAUGGAGUGUCGUAAAGCCUUACACACUUGUAAGGUGAGGCAAUUCAGGCACCUGCUUUGGAAUAAGCAUACUCUCUUGUGUUUCAUUAUUUGGCUCCCUGGUUGGGCGGAUAACAGUUUUGCUCCUUUACUUUCAUGUCACUGUUUUCAGAAGAGAGAGAUUUUAAAGCUUGAAAAUGGUAGGCAUUUGAGUAAAGACAAAAACAGGUGUAUGGGGGUAAGGAUCUUGUUUUAGUAACAUGGACAAUUUAUGAAUGUUAUAAUUUUAGUAAGCAUAUAUGCAGUAAGUCUAGCAUUAAUAGAUCCACAUUGUAAAAUGCCUGUUUAUCCAAAGACGGAGGUCUCUUGGUAUCAUUGGCUUGUUACUGUUAAUGCCACCCUUAGUCACAGGUAUGACGUUAUCAUGUGAUAACUUUUGUCCCACACCCAUGGCUUAUAGAGUGCUUGGGUUGCCUUCUCUUUUUGCCAGAUCAAAUUCUAAAUGUCCUAACACACCGAACAUAACGCCAGUCUCCUUCUUGAAACCAUCUCUGACUUUACGUGUAUAAGCUCUCUCUUUUCUGUUUCUGCUCACACCUUUGGUGACCUCACUUAGCCCUGUGACUUUAAAUUUACCACACAUACCCUGAAGACUCCUAGGUUUUUGCUUGUUUUGUGAGGGGGUUUUUUGGCCAGCCUGGACUGCAUAGAUAUUUGCAUAUCUAGUUGCCUUCUCACCACCUGCACAGGACUGUUUAGUGAGCAUUUCCAGCCCACAGGGCCAGACCUGGCCCUGCUCUUGCCCCAGGACCACUCUGCCUGCACUCCUCUCUGUCUUCCUCGAGAGCGCUUACCCCCUUCUGGUCGCUCCAGUCUAAACCCUAGAGUCUUCCUUGGCUCCCUCUUUCUUUCCAUGUACAGUACAUAAGAAACUAAGAGAUUUCUAAGUGAUCCAUGGGUCAAAGAAGAGAAAUACUUGGAACUAAAUUUAAAAAACCAAAUACAACAUAUCAGAAAUCAUAUGAUGCUGCUAAGCUGUGCUAAGAGGGAAAUUUAUGGCAUUAAAUGUCUCUAUUGGAAAAGGAGAACGAUCUCAGAUCAGUAAUUUAAGCGUUUAUCUUAUUCCAAAAAGUGAAGAACAAACUAAACCCAAUAGCAAGUAAAAAGAAGGAGAUAAAGGUUAGAGUGGAAGUCGGUGACGUAGAAACAGAAAGCAGUAGAAAGGAUCAAUAGAACCAAAAUUAAUUGAUUAAUUGAAAAUUAAUUUCAGCCGGUUAAUUGAAGAUAUCAGCAAAAUUGACAAACCUGUAGCUAGAUUGACCAAGAAAAAGAGAGAAGAUACAAGGUACCAAAAUCAAGAAUGAAGAGGGGCGUUGAGUAUUGAUCUUAUAGAAAUUAAGUUGAUAGUCUGAAUAACUUUGUACCAACAAGUUAGAUAGCUUAUAUGAAAUGGACAAAAUUCUAGAAAUAGGCAAAUUGCCAAAACUGACUCAAGAAAAAUGAAAAGUCUGAAUAGACAUAUAAUGAGUAAAGAAAUUGAAUUGAUAAUUAACAAUUUUGCCACAAAGAAAAGCCCAAGUUAUUUUGGCUUCAGUGGUAAAUUCUGUCAGACAUAUAAAGAACUAAUACCAAAAAAGAAAAAAAA